Molecule: ribosomal RNA, 253 nt
Filed under: uncultured bacterium
Lineage: Bacteria
Description: partial 16S ribosomal RNA
Rfam family: Bacterial small subunit ribosomal RNA
Source: RNAcentral
UACGUAGGGCGCAAGCGUUGUCCGGAAUUAUUGGGCGUAAAGAGCUCGUAGGCGGUCUGUCGCGUCUGGUGUGAAAUCCCGAGGCUCAACCUCGGGCUUGCAUCGGGUACGGGCAGACUAGAGUGCGGUAGGGGAGACUGGAAUUCCUGGUGUAGCGGUGGAAUGCGCAGAUAUCAGGAGGAACACCGAUGGCGAAGGCAGGUCUCUGGGCCGCAACUGACGCUGAGGAGCGAAAGCAUGGGGAGCAAACAGG